This 1346-nucleotide ribosomal RNA is filed under the name uncultured bacterium. RNAcentral's name for it is "partial 16S ribosomal RNA". It matches the Rfam family "Bacterial small subunit ribosomal RNA", at positions 28 to 1381 of the family's 1533-position model. The record is from RNAcentral.
GACGAACGCUGGCGGCGUGCUUAACACAUGCAAGUCGAACGGAAAGGCCCUGCUUUUGUGGGGUGCUCGAGUGGCGAACGGGUGAGUAACACGUGAGUAACCUGCCCUUGACUUUGGGAUAACUUCAGGAAACUGGGGCUAAUACCGGAUAGGAGCUCCUGCUGCAUGGUGGGGGUUGGAAAGUUUUGGCGGUUGGGGAUGGACUCGCGGCUUAUCAGCUUGUUGGUGGGGUAGUGGCUUACCGAGGCUUUGACGGGUAGCCGGCCUGAGAGGGUGACCGGCCACAUUGGGACUGAGAUACGGCCCAGACUCCUACGGGAGGCAGCAGUGGGGAAUAUUGCACAAUGGGCGGAAGCCUGAUGCAGCAACGCCGCGUGCGGGAUGACGGCCUUCGGGUUGUAAACCGCUUUCGCCUGUGACGAAGCGUGAGUGACGGUAAUGGGUAAAGAAGCACCGGCUAACUACGUGCCAGCAGCCGCGGUGAUACGUAGGGUGCGAGCGUUGUCCGGAUUUAUUGGGCGUAAAGGGCUCGUAGGUGGUUGAUCGCGUCGGAAGUGUAAUCUUGGGGCUUAACCCUGAGCGUGCUUUCGAUACGGGUUGACUUGAGGAAGGUAGGGGAGAAUGGAAUUCCUGGUGGAGCGGUGGAAUGCGCAGAUAUCAGGAGGAACACCAGUGGCGAAGGCGGUUCUCUGGGCCUUUCCUGACGCUGAGGAGCGAAAGCGUGGGGAGCGAACAGGCUUAGAUACCCUGGUAGUCCACGCUGUAAACGGUGGGUACUAGGUGUGGGGUCCAUUCCACGGGUUCCGUGCCGUAGCUAACGCUUUAAGUACCCCGCCUGGGGAGUACGGCCGCAAGGCUAAAACCCAAAGGAAUUGACGGGGCCCCGCACAAGCGGCGGAGCAUGCGGAUUAAUUCGAUGCAACGCGUAGAACCUUACCUGGGUUUGACAUGGAUCGGGAGUGCUCAGAGAUGGGUGUGCCUCUUUUGGGGUCGGUUCACAGGUGGUGCAUGGCUGUCGUCAGCUCGUGUCGUGAGAUGUUGGGUUAAGUCCCGCAACGAGCGCAACCCUUGUUCACUGUUGCCAGCACGUUAUGGUGGGGACUCAGUGGAGACCGCCGGGGUCAACUCGGAGGAAGGUGGGGAUGACGUCAGGUCAUCAUGCCCCUUAUGUCCAGGGCUUCACGCAUGCUACAAUGGCUGGUACAGAGAGUGGCGAGCCUGUGAGGGUGAGCGAAUCUCGGAAAGCCGGUCUCAGUUCGGAUUGGGGUCUGCAACUCGACCUCAUGAAGUCGGAGUCGCUAGUAAUCGCAGAUCAGCAACGCUGCGGUGAAUACGUUCCCGGGGCU